This is a transfer RNA of Lepisosteus oculatus (spotted gar), 83 nucleotides long. It matches the Rfam family "tRNA". From Rfam's summary of the family: Transfer RNA (tRNA) molecules are approximately 80 nucleotides in length. NCBI's taxonomy places the organism in Eukaryota, Metazoa, Chordata, Actinopteri, Semionotiformes, Lepisosteidae. The record is from Rfam.
AUCAGAAUGGCAGAGCAGUCUAAGGUGCUGCGUUAAGGUCGCAGUCUCCCCUGGAAGCGUGGGUUCGAGUCCCACUUCUGACA